Molecule: ribosomal RNA, 451 nt
Filed under: uncultured bacterium
Lineage: Bacteria
Description: partial 16S ribosomal RNA
Rfam family: Bacterial small subunit ribosomal RNA
Source: RNAcentral
AACGAACGCUGGCGGCAGGCCUAAAACAUGCAAGUCGAACGGGUGUAGCAAUACAUCAGUGGCGCACGGGUGAGUAACGCGUGGGAACGUGCCCUUCAGUACGGGACAACGUCGGGAAACUGACGCUAAUACCGUAUAAUAUCUCCGGAUCAAAGAUUUAUCGCUGAGGGAGCGGCCCGCGUGUGAUUAGCUAGUUGGUGAGGUAAUGGCUCACCAAGGCUACGAUCAGUAGCAGGUCUGAGAGGAUGAUCUGCCACACUGGGACUGAGACACGGCCCAGACUCAUAGGGGAGGCAGCAGUUAGGAAUAUUGGACAAUGGGGGAAACCCUGAUCCAGCCAGGCCGCGUGUGUGAUGAAGGCCCUAGGGUUGGAAAGCACUUUCGUUGGGGAUGUUAAUGACCGUACCCAAAGAAGAAGCCACGGCUAAAUUCGUGCCAGCCGCCGCAGUAA